Molecule: ribosomal RNA, 682 nt
Filed under: uncultured eukaryote
Lineage: Eukaryota
Description: SSU rRNA
Rfam family: Eukaryotic small subunit ribosomal RNA
Source: RNAcentral
GUUGUUGCGGUUAAAAAGCUCGUAGUUGGAUUUCUGUUGAGGACGGCCGGUCCGCACUAUGUGCGUGUAUCUGGUUCGGCCUUGGCAUCCUCUUGAGGAACGUUCCUGCGCUUGAUUGCGUGGGGCGGUAUUCAAGACUUUUACUUUGAGGAAAUUAGAGUGUUCACGGCAGGCAAGCGCCUUGAAUACAUUAGCAUGGAAUAAUAAUAUAGGAUCUUGGUUCUAUUUGUUGGUUUCUAGGGCUAAGGUAAUGAUUAAUAGGGAUAAUUGGGGGCAUUUGUAUUAACGCGUCAGAGGUGGAAUUCUUGGAUUGCGUUACGACAAACUACUGCGAAAGCAUUUGCCAAGGAUGUUUUCAUUGAUCAAGAACGAAAGUAUGGGGAUCGAAGAUGAUUAGAUACCGUCGUAGUCUAUACCAUAAACUAUGCCGACUAGGGAUUGGAGGUCGUUCUUUUUAUGACUCCUUCAGCACCUUAUGAGAAAUCAAAGUCUUUGGGUUCCGGGGGGAGUAUAGUCGCAAGGCUGAAACUUAAAGGAAUUGACGGAAGGGCACCACCAGGAGUGGAGCCUGCGGCUUAAUUUGACUCAACACGGGGAAACUCACCAGGUCCAGACAUAGUAAGGAUUGACAGAUUGAUAGCUCUUUCUUGAUUCUAUGGGUGGUGGUGCAUGGCCGUUCUUA